RNAcentral lists this ribosomal RNA (300 nucleotides) under uncultured Roseomonas sp. RNAcentral's name for it is "partial 16S ribosomal RNA". The stretch from base 52 to 300 matches the Rfam family "Bacterial small subunit ribosomal RNA", at positions 547 to 795 of the family's 1533-position model. The record is from RNAcentral. Lineage: Bacteria; Pseudomonadati; Pseudomonadota; Alphaproteobacteria; Acetobacterales; Roseomonadaceae.
GCUAAGCGCGCGGCAGGAGGCGGAGGAAAAGGGGGGGGCCGAGGGUUAAGCGGAAUUCAUGGGCGUAGAGCGUGCGGAGGCGGGUUGUUAAGCGAGAUGUGAAAGGCCGGGGCUCAGCCUAGGAAUAGCAGUUCGAACUGGCGAACUAGAGUCUUGUAGAGGGGGGUAGAAUUCCAGGUGUAGCGGUGAAAUGCGUAGAGAUCUGGAGGAAUACCGGUGGCGAAGGCGGCCCCCUGGACAAAGACUGACGCUCAUGCACGAAAGCGUGGGGAGCAAACAGGAUUAGAUACCCGAGUAGUC